AAGUCGUAACAAGGUAACCGUAGGUGAACCUGCGGUUGGAUCAUUAUAAAAGGAUCAGCAUGUCGGUUGACAGCAGCAUAGUGCUGCAGUUCCGACUUCAAGUGCUCAAUCUUUCUCCCAGCCAAUGAAUUGCUGAAGAUUCGUUGAAGCUUUUCAACGUUGAUUUACAGUUUGUUGUCCUGUGGAUCCAGAAAGAAACAUCUUGUGAACCGUUCCGUCUCUGGCGAGAGGGUAGUGAAGAACUACUUGUCAGCAUUGCUUUUUGCGGUGCCGUGGACAGCUCGCCAACCCCUUCUAAACAUAUAUUUAUUUUUUUAUGCCUGACAUUUAUUGUAUAAAUAUACAAAACAACUUUUGGCAACGGAUCUCUUGGCUCUC
This 378-nucleotide unclassified non-coding RNA is filed under the name fungal sp. Its description in RNAcentral is "partial internal transcribed spacer region". The stretch from base 1 to 46 matches the Rfam family "Eukaryotic small subunit ribosomal RNA", at positions 1786 to 1831 of the family's 1831-position model. Lineage: Eukaryota; Fungi. The record is from RNAcentral.